AAGAUGUAGUUCAAUGGUAGAACAGAAGCUUCAUACGCUUUUAACAAAGGUUCAAUUCCUUUCAUCACUA
Molecule: non-coding RNA, 70 nt
Organism: Nowakowskiella sp. JEL0078
Lineage: Eukaryota; Fungi; Chytridiomycota; Chytridiomycetes; Cladochytriales; Nowakowskiellaceae
Source: the annotation of a GenBank genome assembly